This 73-nucleotide transfer RNA is filed under the name Sus scrofa (pig). It matches the Rfam family "tRNA". From Rfam's summary of the family: Transfer RNA (tRNA) molecules are approximately 80 nucleotides in length. Their secondary structure includes four short double-helical elements and three loops (D, anti-codon, and T loops). Lineage: Eukaryota; Metazoa; Chordata; Mammalia; Artiodactyla; Suidae. The record is from Rfam by way of RNAcentral.
UCCCUGGUGGCCUAGCAGUUAAGGUCUUAGCAUUGUCACUGCUGUGGCUUGGGUUAGAUCCCUGACCUGGGAA